This 457-nucleotide ribosomal RNA is filed under the name uncultured Oomycota. RNAcentral describes it as "LSU rRNA". It matches the Rfam family "Eukaryotic large subunit ribosomal RNA", at positions 326 to 628 of the family's 3401-position model. The record is from RNAcentral. Lineage: Eukaryota; Oomycota.
GUGCGAGACCGAUAGCGAACAAGUACCGUGAGGAAAAGAUGAAAAGAACUUUGAAAAGAGAGUUAAAGAGUACCUGAAACUGCUGAAAGGGAAGCGAAUCGUAUCCAGUGUCUAUAAUCUGCGGCAUAUUUCAUUGGCGGCGGUGCGCGUGCUUUUGCGUCGGAAGCGGCUUUUGUUGCUCUGUGCUUUUGCUGUGCGUGGUGUUGCUGGUGCCCUGUGUUGCGGUGGGACGUCAGAGUCAGUUUGUAUGCUGCGGGAAAUGGUUGUUGGGGAGGUAGGUCACUUCGGUGGCUGUUAUAUCCUGAUGACUAGUCGUCGUGGUUGGGACUGAGGUGCCUACAAUGUGCUUUCGAGUCUGUGGGUCUCUCGUUUGGCUGUUUGCAUUGAUAGCUUGCUAUGUUUGUGACCGUGUUGGGCGAUUGAGAUCUGUAGUAACUUGUUGCUGUUCGGGACUUUG